Molecule: RNA transcript, 1811 nt
Organism: Manacus vitellinus (golden-collared manakin)
Lineage: Eukaryota; Metazoa; Chordata; Aves; Passeriformes; Pipridae
Gene: KHDRBS3
Gene name: KH RNA binding domain containing, signal transduction associated 3
Exons: 10
Source: RefSeq, a predicted model, not a curated record
UGAAAAAUUCCAAAAAGGGGAAGGAAAGGAGGAGGAAAAGUAUAUUGAUGUAGUCAUCAAUAAGAAUAUGAAGCUGGGACAAAAAGUUCUGAUUCCAGUAAAACAAUUCCCUAAGUUCAACUUUGUGGGAAAACUUUUGGGCCCCCGUGGUAAUUCUCUAAAGCGUUUACAGGAAGAAACGCUGACAAAAAUGUCUAUUUUGGGAAAAGGUUCUAUGAGGGACAAGACAAAGGAGGAGGAGUUGAGAAAAAGUGGAGAGGCAAAGUAUUUCCACCUAAAUGAUGACCUGCAUGUUUUAAUUGAAGUAUUUGCUCCCCCUGCUGAAGCAUAUGCCAGAAUGGGACAUGCACUGGAAGAAAUCAAGAAGUUCCUCAUUCCUGACUACAAUGAUGAAAUCAGACAGGCACAGCUUCAAGAAUUGACAUAUUUAAAUGGUGGUUCAGAAACUGCAGAAGUUCCAGUCGUUCGUGGAAAAGCAUCUAUUCGAGCAAGAGGAGUGCCAGUUCCUGCUUUGUCCAGGGGCCGUGGAGGGGUGCCUCCACCACCAGCAGGAGUACCCAGAGGGGCACCAGCACCCAGGGGAGUGCCUCCCAGCAGAGGACCAGUCAGUCGUAGCCGGGGACUUCUGGCACCCAGGGCAAGAGGAGUCCCCCCUCCUGCAGGAUACCGGCCCCUCCCGCCGCCCCCGGCACAGGAGACCUACGGGGAAUAUGAGUAUGAUGAUGGCUAUGGAGCUGCUUAUGAUGAACAAAGCUAUGAUUCUUAUGAUAACAGCUAUAGCACUCAAGCACAAAGUGGAGCAGAUUACUAUGACUAUGGUCACGGCCUGAGUGAAGAAACAUAUGACUCUUAUGGGCAAGAAGAAUGGACCAACUCACGACACAAGGCACCUUCUGCAAGGACAACAAAAGGAGUCUACAGAGACCAGCCAUAUGCCAGAUACUGAUUGUACUGUCUGAUGUUGUGAAAUAUCCAAUCUCCACCAGUCCUGUAUACUGUUCAAAGAAACCCACCUCUUUGGACAGCCAAGAGAACAAAAACCCUAAUCUUCUGAUGCUUUGGAACUUCUGCCAUGUUAAUUAUGGACUGCUUAGAGCAUUGUACUUAUCCGUGUGCCCAGACAUCAGCGAGAGGCUACGGAGUGUGAAAAUCCUGUUCAGUAUUUCUUGUAUUAAAGCCUUAAAGUGUAUAACAGUAUACACUUUUUAAAAUAAUUGUAUAUUUAAACUCUUAAUUGUAUAGUGAUGCAACAAUGUUUUAUUUGGAGCUCAAUAAAAAAUUUUCAUCUAAGUUCCUGUUACAAGCAAUAACGCAACCUCCCGUUCCUUCUGCUCCUUUAGUGACUGUUUUUAGCCUUAUGCAGCAAGUGUAAGAGAGUGUGUGAAGUCUCAUGACUAGAAUUUAAAUGCUUUUGGAAAUAGCUUGUCUAACGUAUGAACAACAUGGAUGAGUUAAAAUGAAGAUUGGUGGUUUAUGCUGAGGCUUUUCCUAAUAGCUGAUUGUAAACAAGUCUGCUUAAAACAAGACUCUUGGGUAGAAAUGAUGCUCCAACUUCCGUUACCUUCAAAAGCAUGAAGGUGUUUAAUCCCUGUCAAUUAUACUAUGCUGCUUAUUCUCUUUCACUUGGUGUUUGAUGCAUAGAAAUGUUUUCUCUAAUACACAGUCACAGGUUUUCUAGUAGUAGAGUCUUGGAUGUGGUUUUUACACCUUGAUAAAUCUUAUAUCCAACAGUCAUGUUUCCUCAGUGCUUUCUGUUUUAUAUUAAUUGUGAUUGUGAUAAUUUGCAACAGAAAUAAAACUCUGAUAGUUUA